RNAcentral lists this long non-coding RNA (403 nucleotides) under Homo sapiens (human). Its description in RNAcentral is "HSALNT0329763". Lineage: Eukaryota; Metazoa; Chordata; Mammalia; Primates; Hominidae. The record is from RNAcentral.
CACCAUCUGCUGUAAAGGCCACAACUGAAGGGGUGGUUCUGGCACCUUCGGCAUUCUCCAGCACCUAAACUCCCAAAAUGUGAUAGAGACAUGAAUCCCUGGCCUGAACUGGGGAAGUCACUUUCAGGAUUAAAGGCAGCCAACAGAACAUCAGCACCCAGAGCCCUGGAGAACAGCAUCUGUGUUUGAGUGGGUAUAGGGAGAGAGAGGCUGCAUUUCUAAAAUAUCUCUGAGAACAAGCUGCUUUUCAGAAUUCAAAUCAACAUGUGAUCUUCUUCACUUUAGGGGUAUAUGCAGGAAGCCAUUAGACACAACCAGCAAAGGGCCAUACGGCAGAUAACGUGUGACUUCUUCCCUUUCGUGUACCACAGAAGUCCAUUGGUGGUGAAUAUGUGAACAGCUA